Molecule: long non-coding RNA, 356 nt
Filed under: Ananas comosus (pineapple)
Lineage: Eukaryota; Viridiplantae; Streptophyta; Magnoliopsida; Poales; Bromeliaceae
Description: long non-coding RNA (ACOM_LNC018677)
Source: RNAcentral
AUGAAUCAAAUAUUUGGAUGAUUUGUCAUUUUAUUUUUCAUUUCAAUGCAAUCUAAUUUUACUUCUUAUUCUCAUUUCAAUAAGAAUCAAACAUGUUCUCAGAUGUUUCAAAUGGAUGUUCAGUGUCUACCAGUUGUUUCAAUCAAUUUUCAACCAUAUAAUAUAUGAGUUGAGCUUUUGUGCUUUUAAAAACACCGGUGCUCAAUGUGCUUACAAUUUUUUAGCUGUCGAAUAGUCUGAAAAUUCAUACAGUACUAGUAAAAAAAACUUAAUGCGACACAUCGUUAAUAAUGCUAUACGGAUCUUGAGGCGAUCCAACUGCAAAAAACCGCGAGCAUAAAUGCUUCUAUGUUUUU